AACGCUAUUAAUGAUACAGUUUCUGUACUAUAUUG
This 35-nucleotide unclassified non-coding RNA is filed under the name Trypanosoma cruzi. Its description in RNAcentral is "trans-spliced leader sequence". Lineage: Eukaryota; Euglenozoa; Kinetoplastea; Trypanosomatida; Trypanosomatidae. The record is from RNAcentral.